GAGAGAGGUGUGCCCUUUAUCUUGGGCAAGAACCAUUGCAGCCACCCUAUUGAUAGAUAGCUGGUGGGCUGGCAGGGAUGUCCAGAGGUGGCUGGUGGAGGAAUGGUGCUGAGCCUGUGCAAGCCAGGCCAGGGGUGCUGGGGAUGGAGGGGUCCUGGUGAGGAAACUGGGCGGUGAGCCUGAAGUCCCUGCAGUCACAUCAUGUCAGGAGCUGAACUGGGACUGGAAUUUCCUGCCCUGGAGCUUUCUGCUACCAGGCAAAUGAAGCAAUGGCUUUUGGAUGUACAUUUGACACUUCAGUGAAUAUUUCAGAAAAUCACUAAAAUGUAA
This is a non-coding RNA of Odocoileus virginianus texanus, 330 nucleotides long. NCBI's taxonomy places the organism in Eukaryota, Metazoa, Chordata, Mammalia, Artiodactyla, Cervidae. The record is from RefSeq and is a predicted model, not a curated record.